UGGGGAAUAUUGCACAAUGGGCGCAAGCCUGAUGCAGCCAUGCCGCGUGUGUGAAGAAGGCCUUCGGGUUGUAAAGCACUUUCAGCGGGGAGGAAGGCGUUAAGGUUAAUAACCUUGGCGAUUGACGUUACCCGCAGAAGAAGCACCGGCUAACUCCGUGCCAGCAGCCGCGGUAAUACGGAGGGUGCAAGCGUUAAUCGGAAUUACUGGGCGUAAAGCGCACGCAGGCGGUCUGUCAAGUCGGAUGUGAAAUCCCCGGGCUCAACCUGGGAACUGCAUUCGAAACUGGCAGGCUAGAGUCUUGUAGAGGGGGGUAGAAUUCCAGGUGUAGCGGUGAAAUGCGUAGAGAUCUGGAGGAAUACCGGUGGCGAAGGCGGCCCACUGGACAAAGACUGACGCUCAGGUGCGAAAGCGUGGGGAGCAAACAGG
RNAcentral lists this ribosomal RNA (429 nucleotides) under Chloroflexota bacterium. RNAcentral describes it as "Chloroflexi bacterium partial 16S ribosomal RNA". It matches the Rfam family "Bacterial small subunit ribosomal RNA", at positions 355 to 776 of the family's 1533-position model. Lineage: Bacteria; Bacillati; Chloroflexota. The record is from RNAcentral.